Molecule: non-coding RNA, 1233 nt
Organism: Pelobates cultripes (western spadefoot toad)
Lineage: Eukaryota; Metazoa; Chordata; Amphibia; Anura; Pelobatidae
Source: the annotation of a GenBank genome assembly
AAAAAAGGACAAAAAUAAAAUCAAUAUAAAUACAGGUAUCUUGUAAGCAAUAAAUUAAUAAAUAGUCCUUGAGAACAGAGAUCAGACGCGUUUCGACUUUCAAAGAGUCUUUCUCAGUGUCUCUGAUGGGUCCUGUGCAUGAUUAUGCCCAUAAUCAAGUGCGUUCCUUUUUCAUCGAAGCACACAGUCUUAAGUCACAUUGUGUUUUUUUGUUUUUUAUUGUUCAGUUGUUGGGGAACACCUAUUGACACCCAUAGCACAAACAUUUGAAAAUUCUGGGAAGUCCUAUACACUUACUUAGAUUAUAUGGAAUGUAGCAAGUCUUUCAUUUUUUUUUUCUUACUAAUGCUAUACCACUCCAAUUCAUCUAAAUCGAAAGACUGUUGUUGCUCCUCCUCCUAUUCUUGUGAACAAUGAAGAUGGAUACGAGGUUGAAGACAUUCUUGACUCCAAGAUACUAUACAGCAGAUUUUAAUUAGAAUUUUUAAUUAAGUGGAAGGAAUACAAUGAUUUUCAUAAUGAGUGGGUCUCUCAUUACAAUAUUCAUGAUCAUGACCUCCCUUCUUUCCAUUGAGACCCAAAAGCUCAAUGAAUUAGCUCUUGGAGGGAGGAAUAGGUUGUCAUUCUUCUGUGUAUAGUCAAUAGUUUUAUAUUUUAUUUUAAGAAGCAUUGUUAGAAUCUUGCUCUGCAGCUUUAUGAGACACGUAAUGUAAUGCAUGGGAAUUUAAAUGCAUACCCUCAGCGCCUCUACGCAUACUUUGUCCGGAUCAUAUGCUUUACUGUUGUCUCCUGCCUCAGGUUCUACUUUCAUGGACCUCACUGUAUCCUCUUCCACACUCCCUUCCUCUUCAAACUAAAGUUUCCUUUGAAUAGAACCCUUGGACAACGACGUCAACAUGAUAUACAGUACUUUGCCAUUUUCUAUGUUAGCUAUUGGUUGGAUUUUACGGCUUGACUAGCACUUUCCCCUUGAGAUUUUCCUUUGUGCAUACUUCAGCUCCUCAAGACUUAUUUCAUGAUGACUACUCUGGCUUAAACUCAUGGAUAUUCUUACGGUCUGCUCCUUGGACUGAUUUUAAGGUAACAGCUCUGGCUAGUCUCAGAUCCUCUUAUUGUCUUUCCGAUACCUGUAUUAAGUCUUCUUUACUAGUGUGUGCUGCAGAUUUAGAACCAAAACUUUCCUCACCCUUUACUUUAUUUGUUUUUGGAUUAGAAAAUUAAUUUGAAAGGAAA